Molecule: signal recognition particle RNA, 299 nt
Filed under: Saimiri boliviensis boliviensis (Bolivian squirrel monkey)
Lineage: Eukaryota; Metazoa; Chordata; Mammalia; Primates; Cebidae
Description: Metazoan signal recognition particle RNA (ENSSBOG00000005549.1)
Rfam family: Metazoan signal recognition particle RNA
About the family: The signal recognition particle (SRP) is a universally conserved ribonucleoprotein. It is involved in the co-translational targeting of proteins to membranes.
Source: RNAcentral
GCCGGGCAUGGUGGCGCAUGACUAUAUUCCCAACUACUCGGGAGGCUGAGGUGGGAGGAUCGCUUGAGCCCAGGAGUUCUGGGCUGUAAUGCGCUAUGCCGAUCGGGUGUCUGUACUAAGUUCGGCAUCAAUAUGGUGACCUUCUGGGAGCAGGGAACCACCAGGUUGCCUAAGGAGUGGUGAACUGGCCCAGGUCGGAAAUGUAGCAGGUCAAAACUCCUGUACUGAUCAGUAGUGAGAUCACACCUGUGAAUAGCCGCUGUUCUCCAGCCUGGGCAACAUAGCGAGACCUCGUCUCA